AUUGGAUAAAAAAAUUGGGUUCACUGAGAAAAUUAGUGCUGGUACAUCGUUGGUGAGCGACAAAGUUCGGGAAGUAGACCAGAAGUUCCAGGUUUCCGAGAAGACUAAAUCAGCAUUUGCAGUUGCAGAAGAAAAAGUUAGCAAUGCUGGAUCUGCCAUUAUGAAAAACCGAUAUGUAAUGAGCGGGACCAGCUGGGUUGCUGAUGCUUUCAAUAAGGUAGCCAAGGCAGCUGGAGAAGUUGGUCAGAAAACAAAAGAGAAAGUCGUGGUGUCGGAAGAAGAACAGAAAAAGAAGACGGUCGAAGAUUUUGCUAAGAUUCAUCUUUCGGAAUCCCCAAAAGCAGCAUCGGCGCCUCCUGAGGAGCCUCAACAACGUCCCAAGCCCGAACCAGCUCAAGGUCUGAUCCUCUGAAUUGUUGUCAUGCUUGUUGAUAUCUAUGUCUGAAAGUUCUUGUAGCAGUAAUGUGUACUUCCUCUUCAUUUCUGGCAUGGUUAUAUCUUAGGGUGAAAAUAUAGAAUAGAUUUCUUCCUCAAUUAGUGGUCGG
This 545-nucleotide unclassified non-coding RNA is filed under the name Hevea brasiliensis (rubber tree). Lineage: Eukaryota; Viridiplantae; Streptophyta; Magnoliopsida; Malpighiales; Euphorbiaceae. The record is from RNAcentral.